GACGAACGCUGGCGGCGUGCUUAACACAUGCAAGUCGAACGGAAAGGCCCUGCUUUUGUGGGGUGCUCGAGUGGCGAACGGGUGAGUAACACGUGAGUAACCUGCCCUUGACUUUGGGAUAACUUCAGGAAACUGGGGCUAAUACCGGAUAGGAGCUCCUGCUGCAUGGUGGGGGUUGGAAAGUUUCGGCGGUUGGGGAUGGACUCGCGGCUUAUCAGCUUGUUGGUGGGGUAGUGGCUUACCAAGGCUUUGACGGGUAGCCGGCCUGAGAGGGUGACCGGCCCCAUUGGGACUGAGAUACGGCCCAGACUCCUACGGGAGGCAGCAGGGGGGAAUAUUGCACAAUGGGCGGAAGCCUGAUGCAGCAACGCCGCGUGCGGGAUGACGGCCUUCGGGUUGUAAACCGCUUUCGCCUGUGACGAAGCGUGAGUGACGGUAAUGGGUAAAGAAGCACCGGCUAACUACGUG
RNAcentral lists this ribosomal RNA (468 nucleotides) under uncultured bacterium. RNAcentral describes it as "partial 16S ribosomal RNA". It matches the Rfam family "Bacterial small subunit ribosomal RNA", at positions 28 to 507 of the family's 1533-position model. The record is from RNAcentral.